Molecule: unclassified non-coding RNA, 253 nt
Filed under: uncultured Cyclobacteriaceae bacterium
Lineage: Bacteria; Pseudomonadati; Bacteroidota; Cytophagia; Cytophagales; Cyclobacteriaceae
Description: contains 16S-23S intergenic spacer region
Rfam family: Bacterial small subunit ribosomal RNA
Source: RNAcentral
UACGGAGGGCGCAAGCGUUGUCCGGAUUUAUUGGGUUUAAAGGGUGCGUAGGCGGGCGAUUAAGUCAGUGGUGAAAGGCUUCGGCUCAACCGGAGAAGCGCCAUUGAUACUGGUUGUCUUGAGUACAGAAGAGGUGGGCGGAAUUUACGAUGUAGCGGUGAAAUGCAUAGAUAUCGUAAAGAACACCGAUAGCGAAGGCAGCUCACUUGUCUGAUACUGACGCUGAUGCACGAAAGCAUGGGUAGCGAACAGG